RNAcentral lists this transfer RNA (71 nucleotides) under Marmota marmota marmota (Alpine marmot). It matches the Rfam family "tRNA". From Rfam's summary of the family: Transfer RNA (tRNA) molecules are approximately 80 nucleotides in length. The record is from Rfam by way of RNAcentral. Lineage: Eukaryota; Metazoa; Chordata; Mammalia; Rodentia; Sciuridae. RNAcentral also lists the same sequence under 1 other name.
GGGGUUGUGGCUCAGUGGUAGAGCACUUGCCUAGCAUGUGUGAAGCACUGGGUUCAACUCUCAGCACCCCA